CUCUGGUCGCUGUUACGUGAGGACGUUAACAGCAUCAUCGGGUGCGUUAUCAGCAACCACGGGCAGUGCCUAGAUUUUAGGCACAUGACUACCUACUUUUUCUUUUUUUUUAGCAAACUUGCCAUCAGAACAUGCAGAAGACUUCUAUAGAUUUAACGUUGAUACCGUGAUGAAAGUGUAACGUAGGGUAGGUGAAGAUGUGCGUGGUUUUGUGGCGCCUCGAGCGACGCAUAGAAGAUCGGUAUGUGAUGGGUAAAAUACCCUUUUCUUACUCUUAGCUGUAGCAUUAGUGGAGACGCAGAGUCCGACAGGCGUUUCUGACUAUCUCGUACCCACGAUAGAGUGUAUGUCAGCUUUUAGUAUGUCUUUUGUGCUAAGUUACAGGAGUGUUUAUGAGGGAAAGGGGGAAAGCCGUGGCCCUCGUGGGGAACUUGGGGAUUCUGUGCGCGCGGGUUGGGAUACAGCUUCGGUCUGGUGCGAGAUUGUUCAGUGCGCCUGGUCUCCUUGUUCGCAAAAUUGUAUUUCAGUAUUUUUUAAACCUCAACAAUUAUAUGUAAUGUUUGUGUAUUAGGCUCUGUGUUCUUCGCUGGUCAGGAUUGCUGUGUGAUUGGGAUAGUGAAGGCCUCUUCUUGGAGCGGAUGCUGUGUUCCGAGCAGGGUUCUUCGCUCGCUGUGCCUCAGGUGCUAUUCAUUAGCUUUUAGCUUCAGGGAUUUUGUAGCUAUAUACGGUGUGUUCUGUGCUUACUGUGCAUUUUAGCUUUACUCCGUUUAAAAUAAGUAACUAGAAUCAAAUGUAAUCUGGUGAUUAUAUAUAAAUACUUUAAGACAUUCCGUAUACAUUUUUUUAAAUUAAAUGGCUCACUGGACCCACCGCCUUUCUUAUUUUUACUGUCUCUUAUCUUACCACGCAAUUUCAUAAAAUCUAAAAAAUCCAGAUCAAAACCAGUAACUUCCCUGAAAUGCACAGUAGCGAUUCCUCUUGCUACUUCCUUCCUUUUUAUAGAACGUAGUGUUUAGAGUAGUUCUCUCCGCAGCAUAGCUCAGGCUUAGUGUGCAAGGGAAUUAGCUUACUAUCUUAGCCUAGACAUAGUCCUAUAGUGUGCUGCACUGCCGGAAUCCAGGGAUGAAGAAACUUCCUGCUCGUCACUAGCGCUUAUAUAGAUAACCAAUAUAUUAAAAUUAACGUAGUCCAACUGCUGCGUGCAAUAGUUAAACGAUAGGUCGGGCACGCGACUGGAAGAGAGCAGCCAGCGGAUGGAGGAGCGGAAGGACUCGAUCGGAAAAGCCUGGAGGGGAGAGCUGAAAGGAGACAAGCCACGAAGAGCUGUAUAUCGUUACAAUUUAACUGUUAAUGCCACAGCAGUUGAAGUGUAUUUAGGACAGGAGUAGUGUCAGGAUAUCGCGUGCAGCCGUAGCUGGUUAGGUACAAGCUCAGCUAGGAUAGACAGGUAACGAAUUGCACUGCGGUAUCUGAAGUGCACUGUGUAUGUCGCGGAAAGCAUUUAGCUACAGGAUAUUGUCUCAGUGGUUGCUGUAAAGAGGUUCUCCGCCAGUAGAAUAUGAUCCAUUUCAGUGGAUGUCGUUCAUGCUAGGCUUAGCUCGGAUGUUUUCAAUCCUUUCACGAUAUUGAUAUUUGGUAUCGGUUCCGACACUGUGUCCUCUCUGUCCGUCUUUGUGGUUAGGUUUGCGCAUCGCAUUUGGUCGUCCAUGAAUGAGUUGGACAUUCCCUCAUAAGCUGGACAUUCCCUAAAGUUGUGCAUAUCAAGGGUCCAUUAUCAGUCUGGUCGAAUCUUGUGCAAUGCAUGUUCAGGUUGGUUAUCAGUUGCGUGGCGCGUCCGCUAAUAACAUCCUCCGACCUUCUUUGUUCUGUGUUCUUUGGUUCGACUUCGGUUCUCUCUUAUCGGGAUAUCCCUAUCUUUCUCCACGUAAUGUCCUCCCAUUCUGGUCGUUAGCCUGUGUCGGAACCUUCUGCUUUUGAAUCUCGAACAGCACCACUGAACAAUAUCAGAUAGGCUAGUGAGGUUUAGCUGUAAGAAUACCAUACUCUAUCGCGUUAAGUUGUAUGAGGAUUAGAAUAGGAGCACCUGGGGUACAGUGAUGGAAACGUGAGCCUGGCACAUGGCGUUCUUUCUGGAUUCAUUCACGCCUAAAUAAAUGCGCCAUAAGUGAAACUCAUUUCUGAGUCUAUUUCUAUACCAGUAAUACUAGCAUAAAAUGUAAUAUUUACCGAUUACUCGUUUUUAUCAUAAAUAAAUAAAAAAAACGUUCAUGGCCAUGUGCGAGGCUUAUCACACGGUCAGCUCUGUCUCGCUCAGCUAUGAUAAGUCUGAAAAAUGACGCACUUGGUCUCUGGGGUAUACGGGUUGGGUGAGAGGCUGUCCACGAAGAUAUACAUACAGCCGUAUAUAAUAAGGAUAGGUGCAGCUUUUAGCUUUACCAUUAGUUUGUCUGCAAAGACGAAGAAGGGCACGGCUCGCGGCUACAGUGAGGGGAGUAUUAUAUAUUACUUUGGGAAUUACGAGUGUCAUGUACGCGAAUUCAUAUAGUGCUUGUGUAAUGAUGUUGCGGGGUUGUGGGCCCCUAAAUAUAGCUACGAUAGCUCGCACCGCGUGGUACCCCGACAGAGGCACCUUCGCGGUCGUCUCUCGUCGGUAAGUAUGUCGGACACACUAGGCUACGACUACCAUGGGAAUACGUGGGAAUGGAAGGGCCGUCACCGUCAUACCGGGCUCGUCCGCUGGUCUGGGUAGGUGUAGGCGCGAAACACUGGGACGGGCGCAUAUUUUUCUGGCAGCCGUUUAGGGCAGGGUCUGGAUUACUUUAGGUAGACGGGAAAGCGGACGGGUGCGCACUGCGACCGGUUAGCUUUUAUGGUUGUAUUAAUGAUAGCCGUGGCGGUGGCGGUCCUGGGGUGUCUUCUGUUCGGGAGUACGUAGGGAGUAAAGACGGUUGUCGUUAGGGAGUAAGAUUUCGUCCCUGGGUUUUUCAGAGUGUGUUGCGUGUGUAGGGUGUCAAAUGAUAGGGGAAUGACAGGAAAAGCGAGACAAUGGAAGGAGAUGGUUAUGAGUGGAAAUUAUUAGUUUAUUCUAUAGCAAACAAAAAUUGCAAAGUGUUGCUUUGACUUCGUAGUGUGACAAUUAGUAAUGUAAUUAAUUAAUAUAAACACGAUUCCACUCGUACACUAUCUCCUUCGAGGAACACUGGUCAAUCGGCCACUGGGAAACGCAACAGUAAGUUGUACCGCCGUGGGACAUUUCGCCGCGGACGUGGCGGCGCUGGAUGGAAGCACGGACCUCCCGCCGCUGGAACCCCGCUAGCUCGGUCUCGAUUAGUGGUUAUCGGUGAGAGAGUCCACACCAGCGCGAGUGAGCACAUCUGCUGUGCUCGUGUCUUGGGUUCGUACCUUCGGGACGAGUCUCUGGCCGUGGAUGAUCCCUCCGUAUAGCUGCUAAUCGCCACACACAUAUGCAUCAAAAUUAUCUCAUUUAUGCUUAGCUGUAGCUGUAUCUGCGUAUGCGGUCGAGCCUAGAUCCUCUCCAAACAUCUGUGUGUUAGGCGGUGGAGUUGGACUGCUCGGCAUAGAUGCCCGCCCGUGUUAGGCUUAGCUCGCGUACGUUCUCUUUCAGUGCGAACAUAGCGAUUGAAUAGAAAUAAAAAUUGAAGUGUGUUUUCAUGUGUGAUGUUUGGAAAAAAAAGUGUGUGUCUGUGUCUCUUUACUCGUCUUGUAUUGCUGGGGGGGGAUUCAAUAUAUAAUAUAAUUACAUACAUAAUAAUAUAAUAUAUAAUAUAAUAUAUAUAAUAUAAUAUAUAUAAUAUAAUAUAUAUAAUAUAAUAUAUAUAAUAUAAUAUAUAUAAUAUAAUAUAUAUAAUAUAAUAUCAUAUAUAUAAUUUUUUUUUUUGCAACUAUAUAUACCGAAUCGUCCCCGGCGAAGGAUUGACGGAGCGCGUGCGAGUCGGCUUAUCGCUAUAGCUUGGCUGGAUUAAUUUGCGGCUGCUGUACUAACCUCUUCCUCCUUUUCAGCAUUUCCACAUUGUUUCGAUGUGGUACACUAAUCGUUCUGCUUGUAUUUUCCAGGUUCUCACCAUAUAUUUCCCCAUAUGUUUUAAUUUAUCCGCUAUGUUUCGCUGGAACUGUCUCCCAUGCAAUUGGUUGCCCGUCGAGAAUAAUAUUGUGUCAAGGACACAGGAAUUGGAGGAACUGUUUAUUCAUGCUCUAGAGCUAGAAGAAGCGAGAGCAAUGGACGAACGAGAUAACGAUGAUGGCACAUCUUGUGCCUCACAAUGGCAACAAUUCGGAGAUUUUAUUUGAGAGAUAUAUUCAACCACAGGAAGUAUUUGGGACCAGAAGAAACUUGCUUUAAAAAAAAUCAUUUUUAUAAUUGAUAAUGAUAAGUAGGUUAGAUAUGGGUGUGGUGUUCCUUUUCGGUUUUUCUUUUUCGUUUUCCAGAGUGGUGGUUCCAGCAGCCCAUGAUCUCGAAAGAUACCUGACUAUGGAGUGCAGCCGUUGGUUCUCUAUCAUCAACAGAUGUGGUGAUAUUUUUUCUUUUCUUUUCUUUCGUAAGAUUAGAAGGCAGCCAAGAUUCUAUACUGAAACGCAUCUGAGGCUUCUGGAAGAAAAUGUUCCAUGGAAGAAAAUGAUUGCUGCAUCUUUAGGAUAGGUUGAACUCUCAUGCAAUUAGUUGCCCAUCAAGAGCAAUAUUGUGGCAAGGACACAGAGAUCGGACGAACUGUUUGUUGAGAUCAGAGUAGCUAGAAGAAGGAAGAGACCAAGAGAACAAACGAGAUAUGAUGCUCACGAUAGUACAUCUUCUGCCUUAUAAUAUCAACAAGUCGGAGCUUUUACUCAUUGAGAUAUAUUCAACCACAGCAAGAACUUCGGACCAGAGGAAGAAGAAACUGACUUUAAAAAAAAUCAUUUUUAUAAUUGAUAAUAAGUAGGUUAGGUAUGGGUGGUAUUCCUUUUUGGUUUUUCCUUUUUGUCUUCCAGAGAUGGUUCCACCAGCCCAUGGUCUCGGAAGGACUAUGGAGUGCAGCCGUUGGUUCUCUAACGUCAACAGAUGUGGUGAUAUUUUUUCUUUUCCUCCGUAAGGUUAGAAGGCAGCCAAGAUUCUAUACUGAAACGCCUCUGAGGCUUCUGGAAGAAAAUGCUCCAUGGAAGAAAAUGAUUGCUGCAUCUUUAGGAUAGGUUGAACUCUCAUGCAAUUAGUUGCCCAUCAAGAGCAAUAUUGUGGCAAGGACACAGAGAUCGGAGGAACUGUUUGUUGAGAUCAGAGUAGCUAGAAGAAGCAAGACCAAGGGAACAAACGAGAUAUGAUGCUCACGAUAACGAGAUAUGAUGCUCACGAUAACGAGAUAUGAUGCUCACGAUAACGAGAUAUGAUGCUCACGAUAACGAGAUAUGAUGCUCACGAUAACGAGAUAUGAUGCUCACGAUAACGAGAUAUGAUGCUCACGAUAACGAGAUAUGAUGCUCACGAUAACGAGAUAUGAUGCUCACGAUAGUACAUCUUCUGCCUUAUAAUAUCAACAAGUCGGAGCUUUUACUCAUUGAGAUAUAUUCAACCACAGCAAGAACUUUGGACCAGAGGAAGAAGAAACUGACUUUAAAAAAAAAUCAUUUUUAUAAUUGAUAAUGUUAAGUAGGCUAGAUAUGGGUGUGGUGUUCCUUUUUGGUUUUUCUUUUUCGUUUUCCAGAGUGAUGGUUCCACCAGCCCAUGGUCUCGGAAGAUACCACACUAUGGAGUGCAGCCGUUGGUUCUCUAGCAUCGACAGGUGUGGUGACAUUUUUCCUUUUCUUCCGUAAGAUUAGAAGGCAGCCAAGAUUCUAUACUGAAACGCUUCUGAGGCUUCUGGAAGAAAAUGCUCCAUGGAAGAAAAUGAUUGCUGCACCUUUAGGACAGAUUGAACUCUCAUGCAAUUAGUUGUCCAUCAAGAGCAAUAUUGUGGCAAGGACACACAGAGAUCGGAGGAACUGUUUGAGAUCAUAGAGUAGCUAGAAGAAGCAAGAGACCAAGGGAACAAACGAGAUCAUGCACACGAUGAGAUAUGAUGCUCACGAUAACGAGAUAUGAUGCUCACGAUAGUACAUCUUCUGCCUUAUAAUAUCAACAUGUCGGAGCUUUUACUCAUUGAGAGAUAUAUUCAACCACAGCAAGUACUUUGGACCAGAGGAAGAAUAAACUGACUUAAAAAUUUAUAAUUGAUAAUGAUAAGUAGGUUGGAUAUCGGUGUGGUGUUCCUUUUUGGUUUUUCGUUUUCGUUUUCCAGAGUGAUGGUUCCACCAGCCCAUGGUCUCGGAAGAUACCCGACUAUGGAGUGCAGCCGUUGGUUCUCUAACGUCAACAGAUGUGGUGAUAUUUUUUCUUUUCUUCCGUAAGAUUAGAAGGCAGCCAAGAUUCUAUACUGAAACGCCUCUGAGGCUUCUGGAAGAAAAUGCUCCAUGGAAGAAAAUGAUUACUGCAUCUUUAGGAUAGGUUGAACUCUCAUGCAAUUAGUUGUCCAUCAAGAGCAAUAUUGUGGCAAGGACACAGAGAUCGGAGGAACUGUUUAUUGAGAUCAGAGUAGCUAGAAGCAAGAGACCAAGGGAACAAACGAGAUGAUGCACACAAUGAGAUGAUGCUCACAAUAACGAGAUAUGAUGCUCACGAUAACGAGAUAUGAUGCUCACGAUAGUACAUCUUCUGCCUUAUAAUAUCAACAAGUCGGAGCUUUUACUCAUUGAGAUAUAUUCAACCACGGCAAGUACUUCGGACCAGAGGAAGAAGAAACUGACUUUAAAAAAAAUCAUUUUUAUAAUUGAUAAUGUUAAGUAGGCUAGAUAUGGGUGUGGUGUUCCUUUUUGGUUUUUCUUUUUUGUUUUCCAGAGUGAUGGUUCCACCAGCCCAUGGUCUCGGAAGAUACCCGACUAUGGAGUGCAGCCGUUGGUUCUCUAGCAUCGACAGAUGUGGUGAUAUUUUUUCUUUCCUUCCGUAAGAUUAGAAGGCAGCCAAGAUUCUAUACUGAAACGCCUCUGAGGCUUCUGGAAGAAAAUGCUCCAUGGAAGAAAAUGAUUGCUGCAUCUUUAGGAUAGGUUGAACUCUCAUGCAAUUAGUUGUCCAUCAAGAGCAAUAUCGUGGCAAGGACACAGAGAUCGGAGGAACUGUUUAUUGAGAUCAGAGUAGCUAGAAGAAGCAAGAGACCAAGGGAACAAACGAGAUGAUGCACACAAUGAGAUAUGAUGCUCACGAUAGUACAUCUUCUGCCUUAUAAUAUCAACAUGUCUGAGCUUUUACUCAUUGAGAGAUAUAUUCAACCACAGCAAGUACUUUGGACCAGAGGAAGAAGAAACUGACUUAAAAAAAAUCAUUUUUAUAAUUGAUAAUGAUAAGUAGGUUAGAUAUGGGUGUGGUGUUCCUUUUUGGUUUUUCUUUUUCGUUUUCCAGAGUGAUGGUUCCACCAGCCCAUGGUCUCGGAAGAUACCACACUAUGGAGUGCAGCCGUUGGUUCUCUAGCAUCGACAGAAGCAAAUACAACUGGAGCCAUAUCAAGCACAUCUAGCAUCUUCCCUGCUUCGCUUAACUGGCCUUUGGAAGCUUUGGACACAGGGGCGACUAGCUCGGACUUCCCAGGGGGGGCAAAUCGAAGUGUAUCUGUGGGAGUGCAGCCAAAGGAGACAGUGAGACUGCAGGUCUUUCCGAAGAGCCAGGAGCGCGGGAACUACCAGACUCCGUCAACGGUACAACAUCGAAGUGUCAACCUCAAGUGAACAUGUACUCGUGGAUAUUGUCUUUGUGCUUCAAGCACCUUCAGUCAACAGCUAUGUACCAUCCCACAGGACGUAAUGCUGCAAGUGCUUAGCACGCUAUGGACAACAUAGUGCAUAUACAUAUUGUUGUGACAUAUUGUUGUAUUGUUGUAUUGUUGUAUUGUUAUAUUGUUAUAUUGUUGUGUGGUUUAGGUUUAUUGUGUGUGUGACAAGUACGCAAUUGUUUUGUAUCAUGAACAAACUUGACCAGCCGAGCUGGGAGGUAUGGGGCAUUGCUCUGUACCGGCUGCACCUUCUGCAGGUUUUCCUGGGUUUUCCUCGCAGACAGAGACGAAUGUGGGUGCAGUUCCCAGGAAGUCGGCCCAGGCCGCAAUUUCGUCCCCCCAAAAUGGCGGCACCGCAUGCCUUGGACGUAAUCCUGCUCUAAACGUCCAUGACGCAUCUUUUGCGUUCCCUUUAAGCUUCACUGCGACAUGGCUCGCACCGUGCAAAUGACAGUCGACCAUUUUGCAUGUUGCGUGGAUGUUUUGAAUGUGUGCGCACGUUGUACAUACCAAACCAGGACCCACACCAAAUUAAAGUCGGGAAACAAAUGAAUCAUUACUUUUAGCCAGUACAAAUUUAUUUAAUCGUCAGUUUCAAAGAUUCUGGUAUGGUAUUGCAACAUGCACGUGCCUGUGUGUGUGUGUAUAGCAUGUGUGUGUAUGUGCAUGUGCGUACGUACGCAAAUGUUGAUGUGUCCGUUUUUAACGCUACUAAACUUCGUGGUUGAAUGUCAUUUGCCGGGCGGACUUUGCUGCAGUGAAGCCAUUAUUCGGUUCGGUUAUUUCAAAUGGUCAGGUUGGAUCCGCCUGGUUAUUUGAAAUGCAAUUUUUAAAUUAUAUCCUCGAUGCUGUGUGUGCCUUCAGGUGCACUAUAUUAUGGUUAAAUAAUGUGCCAGGAUUUUUCUGGUAUUGAAUAGUUCAUUGUGAGUGUUUCAUGAUGUGUAUUUUGUACAUGCUGAUGCUAUCUGAUUAUUGCGUGAGAUUUCUUUGUGUAUUAAAUAGUUGCUUUUGUAUGUGCUGAUGCUACCUAAAUAAUGUAUAAUGAUUGACUUCUUGUGUAUUAAAUUUGUGUGUGAUUUUCAUUCUGUACAUUAAAUUUCAGGUGCUUUCUCUUCA
Molecule: long non-coding RNA, 8903 nt
Organism: Ornithodoros turicata
Lineage: Eukaryota; Metazoa; Arthropoda; Arachnida; Ixodida; Argasidae
Exons: 4
Source: RefSeq, a predicted model, not a curated record